ACAUCAUUCCUUUACCACAGGUAUCAGUCAUUACAUCAUUCCUUUACCACAGGUAUCAGUCAUUACAUCAUUCCUUUACCACAGGUAUCAGUCAUUACAUCAUUCCUUUACCACAGGUAUCAGUCAUUACAUCAUUCCUUUACCACAGGUAUCAGUCAUUACAUCAUUCCUUUACCACAGGUAUCAGUCAUUACAUCAUUCCUUUACCACAGGUAUCAGUCAUUACAUCAUUCCUUUACCACAGGUAUCAGUCAUUACAUCAUUCCUUUACCACAGGUAUCAGUCAUUACAUCAUUCCUUUACCACAGGUAUCAGUCAUUACAUCAUUCCUUUACCACAGGUAUCAGUCAUUACAUCAUUCCUUUACCACAGGUAUCAGACAAAACCCACAACCACACCGUUAAUAAUAUAUC
Long non-coding RNA from Oncorhynchus keta (chum salmon), 413 nucleotides. RefSeq lists it as uncharacterized. The transcript is spliced from 3 exons. The record is from RefSeq and is a predicted model, not a curated record. NCBI's taxonomy places the organism in Eukaryota, Metazoa, Chordata, Actinopteri, Salmoniformes, Salmonidae.